This 254-nucleotide ribosomal RNA is filed under the name uncultured prokaryote. RNAcentral describes it as "partial 16S ribosomal RNA". It matches the Rfam family "Bacterial small subunit ribosomal RNA", at positions 525 to 777 of the family's 1533-position model. The record is from RNAcentral.
ACGAAGGGUGCAAGCGUUAAUCGGAAUUACUGGGCGUAAAGGGUGCGUAGGCGGUUCGUUAAGUCUGUUGUGAAAUCCCCGAGCUUAACCUGGGAACUGCAUUGGUGACUGGCAGGCUUUGAGUGUGGCAGAGGGAGGUAGAAUUCCACGUGUAGCAGUGAAAUGCGUAGAGAUGUGGAGGAAUACCGAUGGCGAAGGCAGCCUCCUGGGCCAACACUGACGCUCAUGCACGAAAGCGUGGGGAGCAAACAGGA